GUCGAGUGCCCGAGGCCACGCCCCCGGCACUCAGUCAGUAGGUCCGGGAGGCGGGGCUGAGCCGGGUCACUGUGCGUUCUCGCGGAGCCAGGCACUGGUUUGGCGCUCGGCCUCUGGGUGGAGCUGGAAAGAGCGAGUCCUGAGGAGGAAUUGGAGUUAUAAUGAGUGA
This 169-nucleotide long non-coding RNA is filed under the name Aotus nancymaae (Ma's night monkey). RNAcentral's name for it is "lncRNA (ENSANAG00000039556.1)". Lineage: Eukaryota; Metazoa; Chordata; Mammalia; Primates; Aotidae. The record is from RNAcentral.